AAUGAGAGUCUGCCUGCUGGCUACUGAGGCCUGUGAAAAACUGGCUGAGCUAGACAGAGGUCAUGCAAACAAACAUACAAACCAGACGCCCCAGGGAAGCCUCAGCACUAGCAAUGAGUACAACAUCCAGUUGAAUGAUGAUUGUUUUUUUGGUAAGUGACUAUAUAGACGAGAGGUACAGUUACAGUAAUCUGUACCUUAGGAUUGUUAGAUAGGCAUGCACAUUCAUAAAUCCCUGAAACUGAACAAAAUGUUUCAUCUGCAUUUAAGCAAAAUUAAACUUUUAAAAAAUAAAGUGUAAAAUGUUUAUGAGUUAAGAUUCAGUUUUGAUCCUCAAAUCAAAACACAUGCCUCAGUCUGUCCUCAAACCACAUACAGGAUUUUAAGUCCUGCCCUUUUUUCCCCCGGAAGCCGAAAAAACCUCUAAAUAUGCUGACAGGCAGUCAUUUUUCUACCCUCUCUAAUUUUUCUUCCAUUUUAGUUUAAAAAAACACAGAACUUUCAUGGACAGAUAAUUCAGGUUUGCGCAAAGGGAAUGAAUACAUUUGUUACAAACAAAUAACAAACUGUUAGGUUUCUCUUCCGCUCAGCAAGGAAGCUAUUUGCCCCGACCACAAAUGCUAAUGAACUGCUUACAUGCACUGGGGUGUGUGCGUCUGUGUUUAAAAAUAGGAUCUGGGUAUAAAGCUGCAAACUUCAGGGCUGCAAAGCUGGCAGCUUGGUAUUACAUAAAAAUACCCAGCUGAUGGACAUCCAGAACCAACACUUGCUGUAAUAGCACACAGCAUUUUCGUCAAUUUUUACUCUUAUCAGCACAAGUUGUUAACCAGGAAAACGGUGGCAGAGCCAUCCUCUCUUAGACUAGAAACUCAGUCUAUCGAUGCAGACCUCUGUCUGUAGAUCCCUCUCCUAUGAGGAAAAUGAACAUGAAACAGAAGAGUUCCUAGCAGUCUGUUUUUUUCAUGGGCUCCACUUUACUAGAAACUGUUUAACAGAGAAGUUUUCUUUAGAAUAUUGCUGCUUCAGAUAUUAUAGCUAAAGGGUCAGCCCUCUUCAAGUACCCAAAGCCUAAUUCCCUUGGAUAAUCUGACAAUAAUCCCUUUUCUACAAAAGCAUUUUGGUACCAUCCCUUGGCCUGGACCAUCAACCUCCUUCUCUCUUAAUGCCACCCAUCCUUCAGGGUCCACUCCAAGAUGACCACCCCAACUAUGCUCAGCCUUCCCAGAUGAUCGGAUUCCACACCACACCAAUGAUAACACCAGUAACAGCCUCUCUUUAUUGAGGGCCUACUCUUUGACAGGUGCACUGUGCCAUCACUGCAGUUAAUCCUUAAAACUGCUAUUUUACAGAUGAAGAAAUUGAGGCUCAGAGAUGUUCAGUAGCUUGCCCAAAAUUACACAGCUUGUAAAUGACAAGGGGGCUUACAGGCCAGGAGAUCUAAUUCCAAACCCCAUGCCUUCUCUAUAACUUCACAUUGCUUCUAAUUUACUAUUUCUUUUUCCUAAAUAUGGUUUCCUCCCACAAGAGGCAUAGCUCAUGGUCCAGUCCCUGAGGAAAGGAACAGCAGCAAGGCACAGAGCUCCUGCUUGGUGCUCAUGAGUGUCUGUCCCAGGCUGAAUGGGGGAUUGGGUGAGGGUGGAGAUACCCCUGCAUUGGUACCUGGGACUUCUGGGAAUACCAGCUGCACUCCCCUGGAAUGCAAUAAAGACAUUUCUACCUUGAACACUAUUUCAGGUUUCAUUACAACACUUAGGAGAUAUGGUUGUAUGGUGUUACCCUGGCUUCUAACGUAGCCAACUCAGUGUGAUUUGAUGGACAUAACUGCUAGGUUAGGAGAGCUUAGCAGCAAGGUAGACCUUCUGUGACUAGGAAUGUUGAGUUAUAGGAGAUUCUUCUUGAGAAAUAUUCAGACUUCUGUCUUUCUUCUUUAUCCUCAUUACCUUAAGAUGGAUGACUGCUGGGAAGGACAACUGAGUACAAUUUCCCCGUUCAGGGAAUGUUCUGGAGGAAACACAACUCACUGAAAUUAAAAGAUGGCUUCUGCCACGGAAGCUCCAUGACUGAGGAUAAAAAACCCAAGCAGAGAAUAACCCAAGCUGAAACUGUCCAGGAACACGCUUUCUAUAAAGUAGCUCAUGAGUGUCAUGGUCACAGCCACAGUACAGACCUGUGUGGGUGACUCAGCAGUUCCCUGACUUGUGCAGCAAAUUCUCUAGAAGGAACUAAGUUAUAUCCCAACUUGUAGCUGUCUGAGUGACAUAAAAGGAGAAGUAAAAACACAAUUUUGAGAAAAACAGUAUGGAGUUGCCUUUGCUAACUCUGAUACAUAAAGCAGUUUCUAUUUUCUUUCCUUUCUAACUUCUCCUUCAGAGAAACAUCUUCUUUGUCUGAAUAUUUCUUUUUCUUCCUUUCUUUUUUGCAAUGGACAGAGUUUCUCUAGACUUCAAAGGGAGACAUGGGAGGGGAGAACUAGGUCUUAUCUUUCUGCCUCUUACAAUGUGCGAUUACUAGAAUCUUAUUAGCAAGAAAGAAGAAUCACUGUACAAGAGAAAACACACCUGGAAAAUAUCCACACUUUAGUUUAUGAAGACUAUGUUUGGAAACCAAAACUGCAUGUUGUAUUAUCUUAUAUUUCUAAGUAGAUGCCUGAGAGAUGGGGGUCCCUGAAGGAGGAAAAAGGGGCAAGACGAUCAUCUUGUGUCCACUUGUACUUGGUUCUCUCAACCUCUCCCCACUUCAUCCUGGACAGAUGACACCCACGGAGAAGGCCAUGCUGAUCUUCAGGAUUUUAGGCUUACAGUGCCUUCAAGAACCUUACAUCUGGACCACCAGAAAGAACCCCGAGUGCUUGUGACUGAGGAUGGAGUGGGGCAAGGUAGAAAUGUGAAGGAUGGUUUCCAACAACAUGCCCCCACCAGCCCAGGAUUCCUUCUGGUAGGCCAGAGCUGGAUGGACUGCUCACUCUUUUAUCACAAACUAGAUCUUCACUAGGAGAAAAAGUUAGAACAGGUCACUUACUCCCAGCCCAGAUCCAUGCAGCCUAAAAAUUCUGUUAAAGCAAAAAAGGAAAAUUGGAGGAUAAAAGGAAGAAAUAAAAGGAAUAAAGAGCAGGAGAGAGAGACUCAAUUUCAGAGUGAUCACACUGGAUACAGGUCAAGGUUCAAAAUACUAAAACUGUUUUUAAUGUUCCACUAAGUAGCAGCCUCUCAGUGCCUCUGACAAGUGAUUUAAGACAAGUGGUCUGCUCCCAAGGGGGCUCAUGAAUCUCCAUGCAUGACGGUUAGAUCGAGAGAGUCUGGAGUCACACAGUUGGAAAGGUGGCAAUGCAAAGGUCAGAAAUACAAGGGAGGAGUCCAUCCAUCAACCCUGACAGGCGGGCAUGCCCAGGACGGCAGAAGGGACAGGAGCCAUCUGGUAGCUUUGCUUGCAAGACCAGAUUAAGAAAGCACUAGCCCAGAAACCACAAAGGAGAAGAUGGAGCUGUAUUUCCGGAGGAAAAAGCAAAGACUUCUACCCAAAGCUGAGAAUAAUCAUCCCCUCUGCUCCACCUAUUCCCCGAGAGAAUCAAGCUCACUCAAACUGCCACCCACAGACUCAAGCCUGAAGAACAGAGCUGAAAACCUGGCACAGCACCUCUGAAAAAUUGUUCAGCCCUGACCCUGGCCAAUGGAUGUGGAAAUCUCAUCUGUGGUCAAAAUCACACUCACAGAUCAGGCCACAGAUGCAAAUCCAUUUUCUGCCAUGGUAUCCAUAGACCUCAUCUACAGCUUUCUGAUGACUGGCUUCAUUCUAAUUGAAAGGCCAACAAUAAGAUCCUGAUGGAAUUUUUCCUUAACAUUAAAAGCACAAAGGGGCACCUGGGUGGCUCAGUCAGUUAAGUGCCUAACUUUGGCUCAGGUCAUGAUCUCACGGUUCGUGGGUGCAAGCCCCAUGUGGGGCUCUCUGCUGUCAGUGCACAGCCUGCUUCAGAUCCUCUGCCCUUGCCCCUCUCUAAAAUAAGUAAACCUUUAAAAAACGCACAAAUAAAUAAAAACAUACAGCAAACACAAUGUCAGACUCUAAUUUCACAGGAUGCCAUGUCAACCCGAGGCCUAUCCCAGGACCCGUAAGUGCUUUGCCCAGCAAGGGGCUAGAGUGCUCCAAAUCACAUCUGCAUUUCCCAAGAGCAGGCCUCAGAUGCUCUCAAAAUCUGGGAAGGGAAGCCAGUCCUGCUGCACAAACGGUGGUUUGUUACGGAACAGGCCUACGCCUGUUGUCCUGUGAGCUAUUUUUGGAAAAGAGGCAAGAUGAGUAAGUUGAAUUAGAAUCUUUCAAAGCAGAAACUACUUUCCAGGACCCAGAUAUUUUCAGAAAUGUUCCAUUAACUAUUUCAAGGCACAAAAGAUCAUUUAGCAAAUGAUCUUUACUGUACUUAAAGGUUAAAAAGGUAACAAAGGCAAAGGCUCCUUUGGUGCAUGAAUUAUAAUCCUAAAGACUUAAGAAGGCCCUGUUUUCCUAAUGCCCUGGUCACAGUACAGCAGCAGGUCACAAAGACACAAGGACAGUCCUUGCCUGCUACACUGGUGGGUCAGACAUCAUCCCCACAGCAGCAAACUGGGAUCUGUUAGGAAGUAACCAUGCAGGUGGCUGAGGGAAGCUGUGUGUUGAUGGGGAACUGGUUCCACUCUUUCUCUCUUCCUUCCUUCCUUUCUUUCUCAUGUGAAUUUCCAGUUUCACUGCAGAGCCAUUUAAUGGCUUUUUCCAAACCAGUCUCAGGUUUGGAUAUCACAGAGUCUUGUUUCCACCGACUUAACAUGAACUCCAUCUCUAACAACUUGGGAGGCUGGAGAGAAGAAAGCUCUUUGGGUAUGUACCUACUUUCAUCUUGUAGACUCCCAAUGUUUUGAACUGAAAAAGACUUAGGAGAUGAUACAUUCUCUCAUUUGAAGAGUAUGUACCAACUGGAUGCCAAAUGGAAAGGGGUGCGUGGUAAUGUGUGUGCCCAAACAGAGAAGAGAAUAGGGAAAGACGUUAUGGAAUGUUUUACCCUGAUUGAUUUGGGGAGGGGUUACUUUGGGGUAUCUUUGGCAAGUAACUGCAGCAAAAGUGUCUCCAUUUUUCAGCAAAUACACAACAUGUUAUAAGUUAACAGGCAGUAUGCCAUAUUAAGAUCUGCCAUCUCCUCUUGGGCAAUAAACUGGAGAUAUUUAGUGCUAUCUUGAGAUCACCUUUUUGAGUGCCUGUGGCUCUCUUGUAAGAACUCUUGUUGAUCGGGAGGAGAUUCUGUCUUUUGGGACAGUAGUUUAUAAUUAGUGCACUGUGCCAUCGAUAUCUGAAUUUUACUUCCUAUUUGUAUUUUUGGGGGGGACCAAGAGAAAACAGCCUACAACCACAAAUUCCCUGCUGCACACCAAAGUAACUAGAUACAAGUUAGCUCUUUGGAUGUUCAAUGAAAAAGUAGGUAGGAGGCAGCAAGAGUUUAUUUUUACUUAAGUAGAGUACUCAGAAAACCAAUUAUUACAAUAUACAGAGUUCAAGUUCAUCCUUACAUCUAUAGUGAGUAAGUACCUUUGGGAAGAUCUCGUCAUUUAAUAUCAACAGAUAAGAUUACUUAAAGUUUAUACAAUGUUUUUGGAACUAAUCUUACAUUAUACUGAGAACAUGCACAUCCACACACUCAUGUGUGGCAAUAAACUUUGUAUGUUUAGUAAAUAGAAGACUGAAAGAACAAAUCCUUGGAUGGUCUCUGGCCCAUGAGUACCUGGGACCAUCCAGGGAGCACAGGAAAUAGGAAGUACAUGGCUUUAGCAUUUCUGCCUAAGGAGUUGAUAUUUUUUUCUGGGUUAAACUGCAGGGAGCCUUCUAUCCUUACAGUGCAUGGAAUUUUUUCCAAUUGGCAAGUAUAUAGCCUGGUGGCUGCUGAGCACAGUUAUCAUAACCUACAAUUCACUAUUCUUUUGGAUAAGUCAGAUACAUCUUGGAAGAAAGAAAAAAAUAAAAGACCCAGGUUAUGACCCUUGUUCUCCUCCCCCAUGUCCAUAUCAACUUGGUCAAGCCUUUAGUUUUCUCAUCUGUAUUAUGGGAUAAUCAUACCAGUCCUGCUCAAAGUUUUAUGCAAUUCAAAUUAGAUGCUGGGUCGGAAUGAUGGAAAUCUACUUUAUAAAUUGUACAAUGUUGCAUAAAUAUGUGGAAAGUGUGUUUUAUAUGUGGUAAAAUUUACACUCUUUUAGUUUACAUGCUAUUUGGUGAAUGCCACACACACACCAGCCUGUUGGAUCUAUGUUUAUGCUUCACACUAUUGCUUCAGCUGCUAAGGAAAAGGGCUAAUGUCAGAAGAUGCUCAGCUCACAGCUUGACUUGUAUAAUGUAAGGGCUCUUUAUACAUCUACCUUCAACCUAGAGUUCACAGCAAGACACGUGCUGUCAGGUCAGGGAACUCACUUUAGCAACCCAGUCCUAAUUCCAGGUCAGCUGGAGCUGAGCCAUGGAUUACACUAUUAGUCCAGGAUGACAGUUACUUUCCUUCUAUGAUUAAACAUCUUUGGAAAGGAUUUCUGUGUUACAUAACCCAAGGUUCAAACUCUUUUGUUCUUGAGUUCUUUGACAAUGAAUAGAAGCUUAAGUUCACUGCCUGCUGUCCAAUACUUUUUAAGAGUCCUGUUGUAAGAAAUAAUAUUCAUGGAUGAUUGCCUAAAAGAUACGAAGAACUUCUAUCCCUUUAUAUACCCAAAAUCGUAUCCGCACAUCAAGCCAAACGAUCAAAAAAGCAGCAGGCUUAGGCUGAACCGCUCUGGCCCUGUGUAGAGCUGCUUUUACUGAAUUACACUUUGGCAGUAUGCCAUUGGCUUGCAGUGAGGGACAUUAUAAGAAACAGUUCUAUAAAAACUGCUAGUGUAAGAAUGUUGUUGAAGAUAUUUCCACUGUAUCUCCACAUUGAGCAUUUGAUGAGAAUCAGUGGAGAAACGUCCCUUGGGUCUUAGUUCCAGCACAAACCUGUUUCUCUGGCUUUCUUGAUAUGGGCACAGGAAAGUGCCUAUUUCCCUUUUUGCUGUGGUUUUAGGAAGCACAGAGUCAAAUUUUUGUGCUACCUCUAACAACUAACUGUACAUAAACUGUAUAUGAACAACUAACUUUCAUGGUCUUUUCCAUCCUCAUCCCUCAUACUUUCUACUGUUUAAUUUCUUCUUAAUGUGUUUAUUAUGUGUAUUUCUGUAAACUCUCCUAAAUUUUUGGAGAACAAAUGUGCAUUUAACUUGUGGGCCCUGAAAAGGCUCUGCCAGAUCACAUCUGCCUUUCCAUGCCUUGUCUUUUGCCAUUUUCUACCAUGACUCUGUGACCCAGUCACACUGACCUGCAUCAUGCCUUGACUAUGCUGUGCCCUUCUGUGUUGUUCUCCAUCUGUCUAUGCAGAUUCCUCUGCCUGGAAGACCCUUUGCCUGUUUCUUAGUCAAGUGAAAUCCUGGCAGAACUCAUAGUUUCUGUCUUUGUUCCUGUAUGGCUUUUCAUCCAUGCCACCAGGAUAGCAUUUAUAUUAUCUCCAGUACACUAGGUAUACACCUGGGUCCUUUGCUAGAUCAUAAACUCCUUGAAGGCAAUUUGCAUUUAUCUUUGUAUCUCCAGCGCCUCACCAC
Long non-coding RNA from Felis catus (domestic cat), 7610 nucleotides. RefSeq lists it as uncharacterized. NCBI's taxonomy places the organism in Eukaryota, Metazoa, Chordata, Mammalia, Carnivora, Felidae. The transcript is spliced from 3 exons. The record is from RefSeq and is a predicted model, not a curated record.